Molecule: ribosomal RNA, 497 nt
Filed under: uncultured bacterium
Lineage: Bacteria
Description: partial 16S ribosomal RNA
Rfam family: Bacterial small subunit ribosomal RNA
Source: RNAcentral
GAUGAACGCUGGCGGCGUGCCUAAUACAUGCAAGUCGAGCGAACGGACGAGAAGCUUUCUUUUCUGAUGUUAGCGGCGGACGGGUGAGUAACACGUGGAUAACCUACCUAUAAGACUGGGAUAACUUCGGGAAACCGGAGCUAAUACCGGAUAAUAUUUUGAACCGCAUGGUUCAAAAGUGAAAGACGGUCUUGCUGUCACUUAUAGAUGGAUCCGCGCUGCAUUAGCUAGUUGGUAAGGUAACGGCUUACCAAGGCAACGAUGCAUAGCCGACCUGAGAGGGUGAUCGGCCACACUGGAACUGAGACACGGUCCAGACUCCUACGGGAGGCAGCAGUAGGGAAUCUUCCGCAAUGGGCGAAAGCCUGACGGAGCAACGCCGCGUGAGUGAUGAAGGUCUUCGGAUCGUAAAACUCUGUUAUUAGGGAAGAACAUAUGUGUAAGUAACUGUGCACAUUUUGACGGUACCUAAUCAGAAAGCCACGGCUAACUACGUG